Molecule: ribosomal RNA, 497 nt
Filed under: uncultured bacterium
Lineage: Bacteria
Description: partial 16S ribosomal RNA
Rfam family: Bacterial small subunit ribosomal RNA
Source: RNAcentral
GAUGAACGCUGGCGGCGUGCCUAAUGCAUGCAAGUCGAACGAACAGACGAGGAGCUUGCUCCUCUGACGUUAGCGGCGGACGUGUGAGUAACACGUGGAUAACCUACCUAUAAGACUGGGAUAAUUUCGGGAAACCGGCGCUAAUACCGGAUAAUAUAUUGCACCGCAUGGUUCAAUAGUGAAUGACGGUUUUUCUGUCACUUCUAGCUGGAUCCGCGCCGCAUUAGCUAGUUGUUAAGGUAACGGCUUACCACGGCAACGAUGCGUAGACGACGGGAGAGGGUGAUAGGCAACAUUGGAACGGAGACACGGUCAAGACGACUAAGGGAGGCAGCAGUAGGGAAUCGGACGCAAUGGGCGAAAGCAUGACGGAGCAACGGCGAGUGAGAGAUGAAGGUCUUCGGAUCGUAAAACUCUGUUAUGAGGGAAGAACAAAUGUGUAAGUAAAUAUGCACGGAUUGACGGUAACUAAUAAGAAAGCAACGGCUAACUACGUG